GAGGAAUAUUGGUCAAUGGACGCAAGUCUGAACCAGCCACGUCGCGUGAAGGAAGACGGCCCUACGGGUUGUAAACUUCUUUUGCAAGGGAAUAAAGUGGGCCACGUGUGGCCUUUUGCAAGUACCUUGCGAAUAAGGAUCGGCUAACUCCGUGCCAGCAGCCGCGGUAAUACGGAGGAUCCGAGCGUUAUCCGGAUUUAUUGGGUUUAAAGGGUGCUCAGGCGGGACAUUAAGUCGGCGGUGAAAUUUUGCGGCUCAACCGUAAAAGUGCCUUCGAAACUGGUAUCCUUGAGUGUGGAUGAGGUAGGCGGAAUGAGACAAGUAGCGGUGAAAUGCAUAGAUAUGUCUCAGAACACCGAUUGCGAAGGCAGCUGUCUAAGCCGUUAUUGACGCUGAUGCACGAAAGCGUGGGGAUCGAACA
This 421-nucleotide ribosomal RNA is filed under the name uncultured Proteiniphilum sp. RNAcentral's name for it is "bacterial SSU rRNA". It matches the Rfam family "Bacterial small subunit ribosomal RNA", at positions 356 to 774 of the family's 1533-position model. Lineage: Bacteria; Pseudomonadati; Bacteroidota; Bacteroidia; Bacteroidales; Dysgonomonadaceae. The record is from RNAcentral.